CAUGAUAUUCUUCAUGGUGGCGUCGUGGAUUCGGCGUAUUUGACGGCGGUUCGUGGAUUCGGAUCGUGGGCUCGUGGAUUCGAGUGGCGUCGUGGAUUCGGCGUGAUUGAAGCUUCGUGGAUUCGAAGUGGAGGCGUUCGUGGAUUCGGACGUGAGGGCGUGGACAAUCCGGAGGGUGGCGCGAAGAUUCAUAGGAGGUUAAGAGAGGUAGAGUCCGUGGAGUCGGUAAUCACCUUGUAAUCUUUUCUCUUAGUGAAUUAUUUUUUCGCAUGUUGGUCCCGUGGGUUUUUCUCC
RNAcentral lists this long non-coding RNA (294 nucleotides) under Ananas comosus (pineapple). RNAcentral's name for it is "long non-coding RNA (ACOM_LNC011953)". Lineage: Eukaryota; Viridiplantae; Streptophyta; Magnoliopsida; Poales; Bromeliaceae. The record is from RNAcentral.